CUUGCAUGGGGUGCAAGGGGUCGUAGGUUCAAAUCCUACCGUCCCGACCA
This 50-nucleotide transfer RNA is filed under the name Marinobacter adhaerens. Its description in RNAcentral is "tRNA-Leu". The record is from RNAcentral. Lineage: Bacteria; Pseudomonadati; Pseudomonadota; Gammaproteobacteria; Pseudomonadales; Marinobacteraceae.